CCGGGGUACUCGAGCGGCGAACGGGUGAGUAACACGUGAGCAACCUGCCCUUAGCUCCGGGAUAGCUCCGGGAAACCGGAAUUAAUACCGGAUACAACUCCGGCCGACAUCGGCCGGUGUGGAAAGAAUUUCGGCUAGGGAUGGACUCGCGGCCUAUCAGCUUGUUGGUGGGGUAACGGCCUACCAAGGCGACGACGGGUAGCCGGCCUGAGAGGGCGACCGGCCACACUGGGACUGAGACACGGCCCAG
Molecule: ribosomal RNA, 250 nt
Filed under: uncultured bacterium
Lineage: Bacteria
Description: partial 16S ribosomal RNA
Rfam family: Bacterial small subunit ribosomal RNA
Source: RNAcentral